AUUGAACGCUGGCGGCAGGCCUAACACAUGCCAGUCGAGCGGAUGAAGGGAGCUUGCUCCUGGAUUCAGCGGCGGACGGGUGAGUAAUGCCUAGGAAUCUGCCUGGUAGUGGGGGAUAACGUCCGGAAACGGGCGCUAAUACCGCAUACGUCCUGAGGGAGAAAGUGGGGGAUCUUCGGACCUCACGCUAUCAGAUGAGCCUAGGUCGGAUUAGCUAGUUGGUGGGGUAAAGGCCUACCAAGGCGACGAUCCGUAACUGGUCUGAGAGGAUGAUCAGUCACACUGGAACUGAGACACGGUCCAGACUCCUACGGGAGGCAGCAGUGGGGAAUAUUGGACAAUGGGCGAAAGCCUGAUCCAGCCAUGCCGCGUGUGUGAAGAAGGUCUGCGGAUUGUAAAGCACUUUAAGUUGGGAGGAAGGGCAGUAAGUUAAUACCUUGCUGUUUUGACGUUACCAACAGAAUAAGCACCGGCUAACUUCGUG
RNAcentral lists this ribosomal RNA (484 nucleotides) under uncultured bacterium. Its description in RNAcentral is "partial 16S ribosomal RNA". It matches the Rfam family "Bacterial small subunit ribosomal RNA", at positions 30 to 507 of the family's 1533-position model. The record is from RNAcentral.